This 292-nucleotide ribosomal RNA is filed under the name uncultured bacterium. RNAcentral describes it as "partial 16S ribosomal RNA". It matches the Rfam family "Bacterial small subunit ribosomal RNA", at positions 505 to 796 of the family's 1533-position model. The record is from RNAcentral.
GUGUCAGCAGCCGCGGUAAUACAGAGGGUGCAAGCGUUGUUCGGAAUUAUUGGGCGUAAAGGGAGUGUAGGCGGUUUGAAAAGUCUUCUGUGAAAUCUACGGGCUUAGCCUGUAAAGUGCAGAGGAUACUAUCAGGCUUGAGUAUCGGAGAGGAUAGGGGAAUACCCAGUGUAGAGGUGAAAUUCGUAGAGAUUGGGUGGAACACCAGUGGCGAAGGCGCCUAUCUGGCCGAUAACUGACGCUGAGACUCGAAAGCAUGGGGAGCAAACAGGAUUAGAAACCCGAGUAGUCC